This 1017-nucleotide ribosomal RNA is filed under the name uncultured bacterium. Its description in RNAcentral is "bacterial SSU rRNA". It matches the Rfam family "Bacterial small subunit ribosomal RNA", at positions 355 to 1375 of the family's 1533-position model. The record is from RNAcentral.
UGAGGAAUAUUGGUCAAUGGACGAGAGUCUGAACCAGCCAAGUAGCGUGAAGGAUGAAGGUCCUACGGAUUGUAAACUUCUUUUAUAAGGGAAUAAACCCUCCCACGUGUGGGAGCUUGUAUGUACCUUAUGAAUAAGCAUCGGCUAACUCCGUGCCAGCAGCCGCGGUAAUACGGAGGAUGCGAGCGUUAUCCGGAUUUAUUGGGUUUAAAGGGAGCGCAGACGGGUCGUUAAGUCAGCUGUGAAAGUUUGGGGCUCAACCUUAAAAUUGCAGUUGAUACUGGCGUCCUUGAGUGCGGUUGAGGUGUGCGGAAUUCGUGGUGUAGCGGUGAAAUGCUUAGAUAUCACGAAGAACUCCGAUUGCGAAGGCAGCACACUAAUCCGUAACUGACGUUCAUGCUCGAAAGUGUGGGUAUCAAACAGGAUUAGAUACCCUGGUAGUCCACACGGUAAACGAUGGAUACUCGCUGUUGGCGAUAUACUGUCAGCGACUUAGCGAAAGCGUUAAGUAUCCCACCUGGGGAGUACGCCGGCAACGGUGAAACUCAAGGGAAUUGACGGGGGCCCGCACAAGCGGAGGAACAUGUGGUUUAAUUCGAUGAUACGCGAGGAACCUUACCCGGGCUUGAAUUGCAAAGGAAUAAUCUGGAAACAGGUUAGUCUUCGGACCUUUGUGAAGGUGCUGCAUGGUUGUCGUCAGCUCGUGCCGUGAGGUGUCGGCUUAAGUGCCAUAACGAGCGCAACCCUCGCCGCCAGUUACUAACAGUUAAAGCUGAGGACUCUGGCGGGACUGCCAUCGUAAGAUGUGAGGAAGGUGGGGAUGACGUCAAAUCAGCACGGCCCUUACGUCCGGGGCUACACACGUGUUACAAUGGGCGGUACAGAAGGCAGCUACCUGGCGACAGGAUGCCAAUCCCUAAAGCCGCUCUCAGUUCGGACUGGAGUCUGCAACCCGACUCCACGAAGCUGGAUUCGCUAGUAAUCGCGCAUCAGCCACGGCGCGGUGAAUACGUUCCC